UUCCGGAUUAAUUUGGAAGGGGUAAACAGAUGAUCAGUUGUUUAUUUUUCGUUUACUCUGGUUUAACCUCACUUAACUAGAUAGAUCGAGAAAUAUUAAAUUACUAUUACUAUUAUUCAGGUUGAAAAAUGCCUUCCUCUAAGGUAAAAGGUUGCGAAGUCGAUUGGGGAAAAAUAAUGUGAAAAUGAAUUCUUUCCCAAAAGAAUCUGAACGACGGAAAGUGUGGAUUAAAAAUAUAGGGUUAAAACAAGAUCCAAACAAAUAUGCUGUUGUUUGUGAAAAAAACUGUAAAUAGUAUUUAAGGCAACGAUUGUGAAUGAGUGAGAAGUCUAAUAAAGCCACGACGAGAUAAUGUAUUAGGGCGUACGAUUUGGAGGUAUUUUUGAUUAGAUAAAUUUUGUAAAGUACAAUAUAAAUUAGAUUUGAUAAUGUGUAGUAUUUCCUAAUAAAUUAAAUACUAUUAAGUGUUUAUUGUUCUUGUAAGUUAGUGUGGUAAAUAAAUAAUAUGAAGUAA
Diabrotica virgifera virgifera (western corn rootworm) is the source of this 514-nucleotide long non-coding RNA. RefSeq lists it as uncharacterized. Lineage: Eukaryota; Metazoa; Arthropoda; Insecta; Coleoptera; Chrysomelidae. The transcript has 2 exons. The record is from RefSeq and is a predicted model, not a curated record.